This 1195-nucleotide ribosomal RNA is filed under the name Baetis sp. PC-2010. RNAcentral's name for it is "16S ribosomal RNA". It matches the Rfam family "Bacterial large subunit ribosomal RNA", at positions 572 to 2772 of the family's 2925-position model. Lineage: Eukaryota; Metazoa; Arthropoda; Insecta; Ephemeroptera; Baetidae. The record is from RNAcentral.
AGUAUUGAUUUCAUUAGUUGAACAACUAGAUUAAUUUAAAUAAAUAUACACAAAAAGUUUGUACCAAGUCUUAAAUUUUAUAUUACACCGUGAGGGGCCAGAUUAUUAAUUAUAAGUAGCUCCACGCGUACCUUUUGUAUCAGGGUCUAUCUAAUUAUUAAUAGUAGUAUUGAAUCCCGAAACUGGGGGGAGUUAUUUAGCUAUAUUGCCGUGGUGGCAACCCCCGUUUAUAAUAUCUAAAUAGUGGCGAAAAGUCAGCCGGCCCCGGUGAUACCGUGGUUUGGUGGGGAAAUGAAUUUAAUUCAAGCACGUGCCGUGACAUAAGGAUUUAAGGACAAGCUUAAACCCAGACUAUAAUUAUUUUAAGUUUUUAGAGUAGGCUUGCAAUCAGCCACCUAGAGGGGGUUAUACCUCGUCUAUUACACAUAUAAUUUUUAUAAAUUUAGUCUGGUACCCACCUACACUAACUAACUUUUAUUAGUGAAAAUAAUGAUGGAAUUAAUACAGUCCGGGUUACCCCCAAUAAGUACCUCAAAUAUCGCCAACGAACUCGGCAAAUCCCCCGCCCGCCUGUUUACCAAAAACAUCGCCCGCGGCAUAUUCUUGUGGGUACGGCCUGCCCAUUGAUUAUUUUAACGGCCGCAGUAUUUUGACUGUGCAAAGGUAGCAUAAUCACUUGUCCCCUAAUUAGGGGCUGGAAUGAAUGGACUGACGAGGUGGGAGCUGUAUCAGCGAUAAAACUGUAACUUAAUCUUUAAGUCAAAAAGCUUAAAUUUUACCGCAGGACGAGAAGACCCCAUAGAUCUUAAUAUAGUAUACUAUACAUAAUUUAGAAGCCGCACAAGUGUAAUAUUAAUAUAUUUAGUUGGGGUGACACGAAGUCGUAAACACUUCUUUAAAAACAAAAAUUUAAGGACAAAUGACCCGGCCAGCCGAUCAAAAAAUCAAGUUACCUUGGGGAUAACAGCGUAAUCUGUCUUAAGAGUCCUUAUCAAAUGACAGGUUUGCGACCUCGAUGUUGGAUUAAGAUUCCCCACAUGAGCAGCCCCAUGAUGGGGAGGUCUGUUCGACCUACAAAUUCUUACAUGAUCUGAGUUCAAAUCGGCGUGAGCCAGAUUGGUUUCUAUCCGCGCACCAAUUAAAUUAGUACGAAAGGACCAUUUAAUUAAGUAAGACUUUAAUAUAGAAUAAUAUU